GCAUCGAUGAAGAACGCAGCGAAAUGCGAUAAGUAAUGUGAAUUGCAGAAUUCAGUGAAUCAUCGAAUCUUUGAACGCACAUUGCGCCUAGCAGUAUUCUGCUAGGCAUGCCUGUCCGAGCGUCAUUU
RNAcentral lists this ribosomal RNA (128 nucleotides) under Ambrosiella hartigii. Its description in RNAcentral is "partial 5.8S ribosomal RNA". It matches the Rfam family "5.8S ribosomal RNA", at positions 30 to 154 of the family's 154-position model. Rfam says of the family: 5.8S ribosomal RNA (5.8S rRNA) is a component of the large subunit of the eukaryotic ribosome. Lineage: Eukaryota; Fungi; Ascomycota; Sordariomycetes; Microascales; Ceratocystidaceae. The record is from RNAcentral.